AUUGAACGCUGGCGGCAUGCUUUACACAUGCAAGUCGAACGGCAGCGCGGGCUUCGGCCUGGCGGCGAGUGGCGAACGGGUGAGUAAUGCAUCGGAACGUGCCCAGUAGUGGGGGAUAGCCCGGCGAAAGCCGGAUUAAUACCGCAUACGACCUGAGGGUGAAAGCGGGGGACCGAAAGGCCUCGCGCUAUUGGAGCGGCCGCUGUCGGAUUAGCUAGUUGGUGGGGUAAAGGCUUACCAAGGCGACGAUCCGUAGCUGGUCUGAGAGGACGACCAGCCAAACUGGGACUGAGACACGGCCCAGACUCCUACGGGAGGCAGCAGUGGGGAAUUUUGGACAAUGGGGGCAACCCUGAUCCAGCCAUGCCGCGUGCGGGAAGAAGGCCUUCGGGUUGUAAACCGCUUUUGUUCGGGAAGAAAGCCUCUGGGCUAAUACCCCGGGGGGAUGACGGUACCGGAAGAAUAAGCACCGGCUAACUACGUG
RNAcentral lists this ribosomal RNA (484 nucleotides) under uncultured bacterium. RNAcentral describes it as "partial 16S ribosomal RNA". It matches the Rfam family "Bacterial small subunit ribosomal RNA", at positions 28 to 507 of the family's 1533-position model. The record is from RNAcentral.